RNAcentral lists this transfer-messenger RNA (371 nucleotides) under Chloroflexota (GNS bacteria). RNAcentral's name for it is "GWC2-73-18 sp001794945 Standard tmRNA". It matches the Rfam family "transfer-messenger RNA". From Rfam's summary of the family: Bacterial tmRNA, also known as 10Sa RNA or SsrA, is named for its dual tRNA and mRNA-like properties. Its role is to liberate the mRNA from a stalled ribosome. The record is from RNAcentral. RNAcentral also lists the same sequence under 1 other name. Lineage: Bacteria; Bacillati.
GGGGAUGAGUGGUUUCGACAGGGCCCGACCACCAGGGAACGCGAGCCGAGGUGCCGUCAGGCCUCGUUAAACAGGCGGCAAACCGAAGUAACUGGCAACCGCCAGUCUGCUCUCGCCCUCGCCGCGUAACGCGGUAAGGUGAGCGUGGAAGCGGCCUCGUCCCCGCGGGCCGUGGAAGCGUCAUACAGCGGGGAUGCGUCGCCGGGUAGUGCUGCGUAGCCGGCGGCAAAGCCCGCAAGGGGACGUGGCUGGACCGGACGGCCUCCUGCCGAUGGGGUGUCACCGGUCGAGAUCGAAGCAUCGGACACGCUCGUAGUGGUCCCUGGUCGAAGGUUCUGGACGGGGAGUUCGACCCUCCCCCAUCUCCACCA